ACCUGAUUAUGUUAGGCAGUCAUUUUAGUAAAGCAGUGAUUAGCAUAAGCGUUAUCCUCGGAUAAUUCUUAUCAAAUAAUUCUCCUUCUUUAGUGCUCCCCAUACGUAUUGCUGACGAAAAAUCAAAAAAUUGCCAUUUAGGUGGCAUUCAACACUAUUUAAGGAAAUUAUUAUGUCUAACAAAAUGACUGGUACCGUUAAGUUCUUCAACGCUGAGAAAGGUUUUGGUUUCAUCUCCCCGGCUGACGGCAGCAAAGACGUGUUCGUACACUUCUCCGCUAUCCAGUCCACCAGCUUCAAAACCCUGGACGAAGGUCAGCGCGUUGAGUUCACCAUCGAGCAAGGCCAGAAAGGCCCGGCUGCUGCCAACGUAGUUGGUCUGUAAUUCAAGCCGGAGCAUACUGCUGAUGGCUCAUGCCAACCGCUGACAGCUCUGCAAGAAUUUAAAAAAACCCGCUUCGGCGGGUUUUUUGUU
This 475-nucleotide small RNA is filed under the name Aeromonas veronii. RNAcentral's name for it is "cspA". It matches the Rfam family "cspA thermoregulator". Lineage: Bacteria; Pseudomonadati; Pseudomonadota; Gammaproteobacteria; Aeromonadales; Aeromonadaceae. The record is from RNAcentral. RNAcentral also lists the same sequence under 1 other name.